Molecule: ribosomal RNA, 433 nt
Filed under: uncultured bacterium
Lineage: Bacteria
Description: partial 16S ribosomal RNA
Rfam family: Bacterial small subunit ribosomal RNA
Source: RNAcentral
AACGAACGCUGGCGGCAUGCCUAACACAUGCAAGUCGAACGAGACCUUCGGGUCUAGUGGCGCACGGGUGCGUAACGCGUGGGAACCUGCCCUUAGGUUCGGAAUAACUCCCCGAAAGGGGUGCUAAUACCGGAUAAUGUCUUCGGACCAAAGAUUUAUCGCCUUUGGAUGGGCCCGCGUUGGAUUAGCUAGUUGGUAGGGUAAAAGCCUACCAAGGCGACGAUCCAUAGCUGGUCUGAGAGGAUGAUCAGCCACACUGGGACUGAGACACGGCCCAGACUCAUACGGGAGGCAGCAGUGGGGAAUAAUGGACAAUAGGCGAAAGGCUGAGCCAGCAAUGCCGCGUGAGUGAUGAAGGCCUUAGGGUUGUAAAGCUCUUUUACCCGGGAUGAUAAUGACAGUACCGGGAGAAUAAGCUCCGGCUAACUCCGUG